UACGGGGGGGGCAAGCGUUGUUCGGAAUUACUGGGCGUAAAGGGCUCGUAGGCGGCCAACUAAGUCGGAUGUGAAAUCCCCAGGCUCAACCUGGGAACUGCAUCCGAUACUGGAUGGCUUGAAUUCGGGAGAGGGAUGCAGAAUUCCAGGUGUAGCGGUGAAAUGCGUAGAUAUUGUGAGGAACACUAGUGGCGAAGGCGAAUCUCUGGACAGUUCCUGACGCUGAGGCACGAAGGCCAGGGGAGCAAACGGG
This 253-nucleotide ribosomal RNA is filed under the name uncultured bacterium. Its description in RNAcentral is "partial 16S ribosomal RNA". It matches the Rfam family "Bacterial small subunit ribosomal RNA", at positions 524 to 776 of the family's 1533-position model. The record is from RNAcentral.